Molecule: ribosomal RNA, 253 nt
Filed under: uncultured bacterium
Lineage: Bacteria
Description: partial 16S ribosomal RNA
Rfam family: Bacterial small subunit ribosomal RNA
Source: RNAcentral
UACGUAGGGAGCGAGCGUUGUCCGGAAUUACUGGGUGUAAAGGGAGCGUAGGCGGGACGGCAAGUCAGAUGUGAAAACUGAGGGCUCAACCUUCAGACUGCAUUUGAAACUGGCGUUCUUGAGUGGGCGAGAAGUAUGCGGAAUGCGUGGUGUAGCGGUGAAAUGCAUAGAUAUCACGCAGAACUCCGAUUGCGAAGGCAGCAUACCGGCGCCCUACUGACGCUGAGGCACGAAAGCGUGGGUAUCGAACAGG